Molecule: non-coding RNA, 79 nt
Organism: Podarcis lilfordi (Lilford's wall lizard)
Lineage: Eukaryota; Metazoa; Chordata; Lepidosauria; Squamata; Lacertidae
Source: the annotation of a GenBank genome assembly
AAAGUAUCCUGGGAACUGUAGUUUGUUAAGGGGACUUGGAAUCAGCACCCUUAGCAAACUGCAGUUCCCAUGAUUCUUU